This is a non-coding RNA of Dermacentor andersoni, 1357 nucleotides long. Lineage: Eukaryota; Metazoa; Arthropoda; Arachnida; Ixodida; Ixodidae. The record is from RefSeq and is a predicted model, not a curated record.
GCAAAGGCCAGCCAAGGGAGAUCGUAUGUCAGCCAUCUCGCGUCGCCACGAAAACACGACAGUCGUUCGUCAUGCCUUGGAUAUAACAGCAAAUCCUCCACGGCACCCGCUUUAUAUAACGCAAGAAGGCAGCUGCAAGGACACGAGGAUGUGAAAGAGCCAGUGCAGUGCGACUUCACGUAGUGCAGAGGAGCCAAUGCCAAAAAAUCAAAAUACAUUGGCAUGUUAUUUGGACAAGAAAACUAGUAUGGACAACCCAGGACGUGCAUUUCUCAGCACCCAGUCAACUGCUAAAAGUGACUCAAACACAGGCCACCAGUGGAACUCGGCUGUACCACUGCAGUGCUGCGGAAAUUGCCUUCACCAGCGGCUUUGCAACAGCUGUUUCGCAGCAUGUCGGAGACAAUGCCUACGAAAUUAUUGGCCCUGAUCAUGAGAGCCCUCAAGGGGCAAACAACAUCUCUGUUGCAGAAGUGAGCCCGAUACCACUUGGAAGUUACCAUGACAGAUGACACGGCAGCAAUAGAUACAGAGACUGCCAUGUCUACUGCAGCUGCAACAGUGUACGAGGCAAGCAGCAGUGCGUCAGCAUCAGCAGCAGUGUCGGAAGGAACCACACCAGGCCUGGUAGAGCAACAUGUGUGCUAUCACUGACUUUUUUUGUAGUGGAUACAACUCAUUUGCUCAACAUACAAAAGCUCUUCACCACGACUGUGAGCCAGUGUUAUUGUGCAGCAAGUGCAAGACUAAGUUAGGUGUUAUAACACAGUACAAGCAUCACUUCAAUAUAUGCAAAUGCAAACAUAUUACAGUUGUUGCCUCCCCAGCCAGCCCACAUAGUGACAACAAUGUGGAACACAUGGUGGGACACACCUCUCCCUCAUUACAAGAUAGUAGAGACUGUCAGUGUUGUUGCUAGAUUGACUGGUCUUUGUAGGCAACUAGAAGGACAACACAGGUGUCAUAAGAUUGUUGUUGAUGUUGUUGAAGAGGUAAAAAAGAAGUUUGAUGCAGCUGAAGUGCCAACUGAUAUUGAGCAAAUCAAAAGCAACCACCUGAGAAAGCAACACUAUCGAAAUUUGGGUAUCUAUGUACCGCCAACUCUGGUAAGAAUGGCAUAGGACAGAAGUGUGAUGAAAAUCACACAGACACUGCUGUUGCAUCACUGGCCACAGUGAGCAGCGACUUGUAGGGCAAGAGAGUCAACUGAAACUAACAUUAUGAUAUCAUGCUCCCAUGUGACCACUUUUCAAGUUAUUUUGCAAGAUACAGCUCAACCUCCAGAAACGAGACUGCAACUUGUCUGUAAAAAAGCUUUCACAAAAAAUUAUUCAUAACACUUUAACAUAGCAGUAUC